GUCGAACGCGCAGCAUUCUGUAGCAAUACAGGGUGUGGGCGCGUGGCGAACGGGUGCGUAACACGUGGAUAACCUUCCUUGAGGUGGGGAAUAACCCAGUGAAAAUUGGGCUAAUACCGCAUAACAUCGCGAUGGCACAUGCUGAUGCGAUCAAAGGCGCAAGUCGCCACAAGAGGGAUCCGCGGCCGAUUAGCUAGUUGGCGAGGUAAUGGCUCACCAAGGCAAUGAUCGGUAGCCGGACUGAGAGGUUGGCCGGCCACACUGGAACUGAGACACGGUCCAGACUCCUACGGGAGGCAGCAGUGGGGAAUCUUGCACAAUGGACGAAAGUCUGAUGCAGCAACGCCGCGUGGGGGAUGAAGCUUCUCGGAGUGUAAACCCCUUUCGACCCGGAAGAAUGCCCGCAAGGGUAUGACGGUACGGGUAUAAGAAGCCCCGGCUAACUACGUGCCAGCAGCCGCGGUAAUACGUAGGGGGCCAGCGUUGCUCGGAAUUACUGGGCGUAAAGGGUCCGUAGGCGGUGUAGCAAGUCGAUAGUGAAAUCUCUGCGCUUAACGCAGAAGCUGCUAACGAAACUGCUGUGCUAGAGUGUGAGAGAGGCGAGUGGAAUUACGGGUGUAGCGGUGAAAUGCGUAGAUAUCCGUAGGAACAUCCGAGGCGAAGGCGGCUCGCUGGAUCACAACUGACGCUGA
RNAcentral lists this ribosomal RNA (692 nucleotides) under uncultured Acidobacteriota bacterium. Its description in RNAcentral is "bacterial SSU rRNA". It matches the Rfam family "Bacterial small subunit ribosomal RNA", at positions 61 to 749 of the family's 1533-position model. The record is from RNAcentral. Lineage: Bacteria; Pseudomonadati; Acidobacteriota.